Molecule: RNA transcript, 2476 nt
Organism: Lytechinus pictus (painted urchin)
Lineage: Eukaryota; Metazoa; Echinodermata; Echinoidea; Temnopleuroida; Toxopneustidae
Exons: 3
Source: RefSeq, a predicted model, not a curated record
GGAUUUUGACAUUAUACAAGAUACUACUCAAGGGAUCUAUGUGUUCACAGUCAUGAAAAUCAUAUAUCAAUCACAGUGAGUUGGGAUACUCAUUUUAGAGGCUUCAAAUUAGACGAUGGAACGUCGUCAUUAUCAGCAUGCACUGGUUUCAAGGAAUUCCUUUUUGUGUCACAAAAUCGUUACCAUGGUUACUGUCUUUAUCAUCAUAUCAGUCAAUCUGAGACAAACUGUUGUCGCUGAUGAGGUAUUCCGUCUCGGGAAUGAUGCAAUUAUCGAAUUUUCGUAUUUAUUUACUGAUGAUUAUAAACACUGUUGGGAGAUCUUUAGAGUGGGCAUCAGUGAUCCGUUCAAUAUCAAUGGAACUAUGAAACCAGAUGCUCUGAAUCCCUCACAAAGAGAGCGAUUUACUGUUAGCGCUAUGUGGGGGACAGAUUAUUUGGGUGCUCAUCUGCAUAUUCGCAACAUCACGAAAUUAGACAGAGGUGUAUAUAUAUGGGCUGUGAAGAGCCAUGGGAGUGGAGUAGAACCCUCGGUCUCAACAUUUGAUGUAUUUGUAGAUGUUAUAGUACCACCGGGAAGAGCACGAUGUGUAAUACGUCUAUCAGUUUAUUCAUCUAACUGGCGUGAAGUUCAUUGCGUCGCAACAGUAGAAAGUGAUAGAUAUGAUGGAGGGGUACAGCUCGUCUGUUACCAGGAUAGCGAGAAGGCAACAUUUCAGAGUGCACCUCUUGAAACAUCAACCCAUGUGAAGGGUGUAUUUUGGAUGAAUGCAAAGCAAGCUAUUAGGUGCUGUUCGCAUGAAGGUAACUUCGUGAAGGUUCCAGGAGAUUGCAAUGACUUUAUAAAAGACGCCCUCAUUCAUGUCAUUGAACCUGAUGUUAGACGAUCGACGACAAGAGUACCGCUCUCAACAACUUUCAACUUCGUAAUUGAUCGUGAAAAAACUUGGUCUGUGUCACCCAAUGAGAAUGAAAUUACCAGUUACUCUGCUACAUCUAAAGUAGAAACUGAUUCCUCCAAUCAAUGCGUUUGUCCAAAAAAUAUUCCAAAAUAUUCUUUCUACAUACCCUUGAUCAUGUUGAUAGUGACAUUUAUUUUAUUAAUAAUUUCCUUCGUUUUUAAUAUGAAAUUCGUGUUAAAAAAUAAAAAUAAAACGGGACUCGAGCACAACAAAAUUAACAAGUGAACCAACCGACGUGAUGCUGAAGGUAUAUUCCACCAUACGACUACGUAUAGUUUUUCCAGAACCCUAUAUUAACUAUUAUUUCGUAAUGGAAUGAGCUAUCAGGAACAGAACAGUGUUCAAUCUCCCCGAAACCUUUAACGGCCAUUUUCUUCUAUUCUGCAGCUUUCAAAUAACCUACUGUACGCUGCGCAUGCUGAUAUUAUAUGGCAUUCCGGGUAUGGCAUCCGUCAUCCGUUCUUCUGCUGCCAUGGCUGCCCUAAGAAUGUUUUCAUCAACAUUUGAGCUUCAUUCUAUUUCAGUGACUAUAGUACUACAUUCUACCUUCAUGGCCUGAGAAACAAAAAAAGCUUGAUAUAGCUGCGCUAUCUUGGAGUUUACAAAAUGGCUACCGCAAAUACGCUUUCAAUUAGCCUACGUUGCACAUGCUGAUAUUAUAUGGCAUUCCGGGUAUGGCAUCCGUCAUCCGUUCUUCUGCUGCCUUAUAUAAGAAUGAUUUUAUCAACAUUUGAGCUUCAUUCUAUUUCAGUGACUAUAGUACUACAUUCUACCUUCAUGGCCUGAGAAACAGAAAAAGCUUGAUAUAGCUGCGCUAUCUUGGAGUUUACAAAAUGGCUACCGCAAAUACGGUUUCCUUAUUCAACCGCCUCUCAUUAGCAUGGUGAUCGUGGUGAUAAGAUUUUUUCAGCCAAAGUUCCCCUUCGUUACCUCUUUCAUCAAAACAGUGGAAUGUCUUUAGAAGAGACGACUUGAAAAUGAACCUUUAACAAGUAAUAACCUUUUCAUCAAAGAGAACACUAACCAACAACGCAAGUCUUGCUCUCACGAAUCACACUCCUAAAUAAUGUCUUAUUUAUUUUAGGGCCUAUACAUUUAUGGUGAAAUCUAUAAUCCUUUCCACGUAUCCCGGUAUAGCAAUUUAUUUAGAAACAAGUUGCGGUGUAUUUUAUUUAUUUUUAUGAAUAAAAAAAUCAAAGAAAUUAUAAAAUUAAGAAAUUGAAGAGAUGUAAAGCACGACGAAUUCGUUUUUAUCACUUUCUUCUUUGAAAAUCGGCAUCAUAAUAUUUGUGCCCACCAAUUUUUUCAAACUUUAUGUAAAUGGACAGUGCAUGGUUUUCAAUAAAACUGACAACUCAUAGAAAAGAUCGAAUCCUUAUAACAAAUGUCCGAAUAUAAAUAUCCCCAUUUUGUAAAUAUCUAAAUCGCCAGGACUUUCACAAAGUAUAAUCUGUUUAUGGGACAGAUUUUUUCAUUCUUUCUGAGUGCAAAUCUGAUAAUAAAACUGAUUUUCUG